RNAcentral lists this ribosomal RNA (253 nucleotides) under uncultured bacterium. RNAcentral's name for it is "partial 16S ribosomal RNA". It matches the Rfam family "Bacterial small subunit ribosomal RNA", at positions 524 to 776 of the family's 1533-position model. The record is from RNAcentral.
UACGUAGGUGGCAAGCGUUGUCCGGAUUUACUGGGUGUAAAGGGCGUGUAGCCGGGCUUACAAGUCAGAUGUGAAAUCCGGGGGCUCUACCCCCGAACUGCAUUUGAAACUGUAGGUCUUGAGUAUCGGAGAGGCAGGCGGAAUUCCUAGUGUAGCGGUGAAAUGCGUAGAUAUUAGGAGGAACACCAGUGGCGAAGGCGGCCUGCUGGACGACAACUGACGGUGAGGCGCGAAAGCGUGGGGAGCAAACAGG